UAUAGCAUCACUAAUAAUUUACGAGAUGGGCAAUAUAUGUAUAGUUUUGAAAAUUGAGGGGCAACGUUUAUACCACUAAUAAUUCAAGAGUAACUUUGAUAAUU
This is a long non-coding RNA of Ipomoea nil (Japanese morning glory), 104 nucleotides long. RefSeq lists it as uncharacterized. NCBI's taxonomy places the organism in Eukaryota, Viridiplantae, Streptophyta, Magnoliopsida, Solanales, Convolvulaceae. The transcript is spliced from 3 exons. The record is from RefSeq and is a predicted model, not a curated record.